This 253-nucleotide ribosomal RNA is filed under the name uncultured bacterium. RNAcentral describes it as "partial 16S ribosomal RNA". It matches the Rfam family "Bacterial small subunit ribosomal RNA", at positions 524 to 776 of the family's 1533-position model. The record is from RNAcentral.
UACGGGGGGAGCAAGCGUUGUUCGGAUUUACUGGGCGUAAAGGGCGCGUAGGCGGCGCGACAAGUCACUUGUGAAAUCUCUGGGCUCAACCCAGAACGGUCAAGUGAUACUGUCGUGCUAGAGUGCGGAAGGGGCAACUGGAAUUCUUGGUGUAGCGGUGAAAUGCGUAGAUAUCAAGAGGAACACCUGCGGCGAAGGCGGGUUGCUGGGCCGACACUGACGCUGAGGCGCGAAAGCUAGGGGAGCAAACGGG